UACGGGGGGGUGCGAGCGUUGUCCGGAAUCACUGGGCGUAAAGGGCGCGUAGGUGGUUUGAUAAGGGUGUGGUGAAAGUCCGGGGCUCAACCCCGGAUCUGCCGUGCCGACUGUCAAACUCGAGGACUGUAGAGGCAGACGGAAUUCCGGGUGUAGCGGUGGAAUGCGUAGAGAUCCGGAGGAAGACCGGUGGCGAAGGCGGUCUGCUGGGCAGUUUCUGACACUGAGGCGCGACAGCGUGGGGAGCAACAGGG
RNAcentral lists this ribosomal RNA (254 nucleotides) under uncultured bacterium. Its description in RNAcentral is "partial 16S ribosomal RNA". It matches the Rfam family "Bacterial small subunit ribosomal RNA", at positions 524 to 776 of the family's 1533-position model. The record is from RNAcentral.